RNAcentral lists this small RNA (125 nucleotides) under Marmota monax (woodchuck). Lineage: Eukaryota; Metazoa; Chordata; Mammalia; Rodentia; Sciuridae. The record is from RNAcentral.
GCUGGGCGCGGUGGCACAUGCCUGUAAUCCCAGCGACUUAGGAGGCUAAGGCAGGAGGAUCGCAAGUUCAAAGCCAGCCUCAGCAACUAUGACGUGCUAAGCAAUUCAGUGAGACCCUGUCUCUA